CCCCUAGAUGUUCUGGGCCACACGCGCGCUACACUGAACAGUUCAACAAGUCUUAACCUUGGCCGAUAGGUCUGGGUAAUCUUUGAACGCUGUUCGUGAUUGGGAUAGACCUUUGCAAUUAUGGGUCUUCAACGAGGAAUUCCUAGUAAACGCAAGUCAUCAGCUUGCAUUGAUUACGUCCCUGCCCUUUGUACACACCGCCCGUCGCACCUACCGAUUGAAUGGUCCGGUGAAAUCUCGGGACGGCGGCUUGGUCGCUUGCGUCCGACUGCUGAAACUUGAUUAAACCAUAUCAUUUAGAGGAAGGUGAANUCGUANCA
RNAcentral lists this ribosomal RNA (320 nucleotides) under uncultured eukaryote. RNAcentral's name for it is "partial 18S ribosomal RNA". It matches the Rfam family "Eukaryotic small subunit ribosomal RNA", at positions 1470 to 1796 of the family's 1831-position model. The record is from RNAcentral.